This 253-nucleotide ribosomal RNA is filed under the name uncultured bacterium. RNAcentral describes it as "partial 16S ribosomal RNA". It matches the Rfam family "Archaeal small subunit ribosomal RNA", at positions 474 to 727 of the family's 1478-position model. The record is from RNAcentral.
UACCAGCACCCCGAGUGGUCGGGACGAUUAUUGGGCCUAAAGCAUCCGUAGCCGGUUCUACAAGUCUUCCGUUAAAUCCACCUGCUUAACAGAUGGGCUGCGGAGGAUACUAUGGAGCUAGGAGGCGGGAGAGGCAAGCGGUACUUAGUGGGUAGGGGUAAAAUCCUUUGAUCCAUUGAAGACCACCAGUGGCGAAGGCGGCUUGCCAGAACGCACUCGACGGUGAUGGAUGAAAGCUGGGGGAGCAAACCGG